AAUGGCACCCUAUUCCCUAUAUAGUGCACUACUUUUGACUAGCACCUGUCAAAAGUAGUGCACUAUAUAGGGAAUAGGGUGCCAUUU
This 87-nucleotide microRNA precursor is filed under the name Salmo salar (Atlantic salmon). RNAcentral's name for it is "mir-130 microRNA precursor family". The record is from Rfam by way of RNAcentral. Lineage: Eukaryota; Metazoa; Chordata; Actinopteri; Salmoniformes; Salmonidae.